GGAAAGCGUAGCCCUAGGCUACGCGGAAGUGAGUGGUGCGGAAUGGACGCCCCUGAAGCCCGCUAAGUGAUAGACUUGGAGGCUGUGUGGUCCAUGGACACCCCGAAGUAAUACGAGAACCCCCUCCUUCCAAACGCUACGGCCAGAACAGGGCGCUGGGGACCUAACGUCUAGCGGAGCAGACAGGCGAGGGCUCCUCUUUCGUGGAAUGUACUUCCUAAUGGGGAGGAAGGAGACGGAGGAAACAGACUAGAAACAUCCAGACCUAGAAAUCACACCUUCUUUCUACCUGCAUAGACUUCUAGAGCUUAUGCGUGCUGUUUGUACCCAGUAAGACCUUUUAUUUUGGUCUGGACACACCAUGAAAAUUAAUGACCUAGAUGUUC
Chinchilla lanigera (long-tailed chinchilla) is the source of this 386-nucleotide long non-coding RNA. RefSeq lists it as uncharacterized. The record is from RefSeq and is a predicted model, not a curated record. NCBI's taxonomy places the organism in Eukaryota, Metazoa, Chordata, Mammalia, Rodentia, Chinchillidae. The transcript has 2 exons.